Molecule: long non-coding RNA, 761 nt
Organism: Micropterus dolomieu (smallmouth bass)
Lineage: Eukaryota; Metazoa; Chordata; Actinopteri; Centrarchiformes; Centrarchidae
Exons: 3
Source: RefSeq, a predicted model, not a curated record
UGGCAGAUUUUUUGCUGGCUGCCGUCCUUUUUGGUUGAAAACAGCUAAUCAGAUGGAAUUUAAUACUUAUUGCCUGUUUUAAGCCAAUGUUUGACAAAUGAAAUGAAAUUUGAAAAAUCCUCACCUUUUCAACACAUCUUGAAGCAGAUGUACCUAUAGCUUUUAAGCAACGUGGUGACCUAUUGGGAAUUAUUAUUUGAAACAAUUAUUAUUUUGAUAGAUUUCGUGUGACUCAUUUAUGUUUGUUCAGUGUACAGAAGUGUUGAACUCUCUAUUAAACCUUCUACAAACAAAAGGAAAGGAAAGUGUCCCACAAGGGAUGAUGCUGGAAUUAGGAGCAGGUAUGUUGCCAUGGAAACCAGGGAAGUGCCUCUCGCCUCUCUCUCUGUGGCUUCAAUUUCCUCUGGAUCAUUCUUCAGUCCGGCCUCUGCAUUUUUCACCCUGCAACAAUAGAAAUGUCCUUGCAUCUCAGAGACAUCUUUAUUUCCCACCUCUGGGGUUGAUGACUAAUGCAGUGCAGCAUCGCUGUCCGGCAGAUGAGUAGCUGCAGGCAACACUAUGGAUAAGUGGAGCAUGAAAUACAGGGAGUGUGAGAGAGAUAGAUGGAGAGGAGCCUGUGCUGCUUAACUUAAUUCUUAACUCUGAUUUAUGUAAAACACGUGCAUGUGCAGAGAUAGUGCUACAUGCACACAAACAAACCAUCAGCCAUCAUGAUUUAAAGGAUGAGUUCACCCAAAUUACCCACAAGCAUGCUGUCACUG